RNAcentral lists this ribosomal RNA (228 nucleotides) under uncultured bacterium. RNAcentral describes it as "partial 16S ribosomal RNA". It matches the Rfam family "Bacterial small subunit ribosomal RNA", at positions 118 to 347 of the family's 1533-position model. The record is from RNAcentral.
UGAGCAAUCUGCCCUUCUCAUCGGAAUAAACGUUGGAAACGACGUCUAAUGCCGAAUACGACCUCCUUUCGCAUGAUCGGAGGUGGAAAGCUCCGGCGGAGAAGGAUGAGCUCGCGGCCUAUCAGCUUGUUGGUGAGGUAAUGGCUCACCAAGGCAUUGACGGGUAGCCGGCCUGUGAGGGUGACCGGCCACACUGGGACUGAGACACGGCCCAGACUCCGUAGGAAG